AAUGAACGUUGGCGGCGUGGAUUAGGCAUGCAAGUCGUACGGAUCGGUGUAGCAAUACAACGGCAAGUGGCGAAAGGGAGAGUAGCACGUAGAUACCUACCCUCUGGUCGGGGAUACCGCGGCAUAACCGCAAGUAAUACCCGAUAAAAUCUCCGGAUCAAAGGUGUGAUUCCGCCGGAGGAGGGGUCUGCGUUCUAUCAGCUUGUUGGUGAGGUAAUGGCUCACCAAGGCUAAGACGGAUACGGGGUGUGAGAGCAUGCCCCCGCUCACUGGGACUGAGACACUGCCCAGACACCUACGGGUGGCUGCAGUCGAGAAUCUUCGGCAAUGGGCGCAAGCCUGACCGAGCGACGCCGCGUGCGGGAUGAAGGCCUUCGGGUUGUAAACCGCUGUCGAGGGGAAUGAAGUGUAGGUGGGUACUCCCAUCUAUUUGACAGGUCCCUGGAGGAAGCAUGGGCUAAGUUCGUGCCAGCAGCCGCCGUAA
This 484-nucleotide ribosomal RNA is filed under the name uncultured bacterium. RNAcentral describes it as "partial 16S ribosomal RNA". It matches the Rfam family "Bacterial small subunit ribosomal RNA", at positions 29 to 523 of the family's 1533-position model. The record is from RNAcentral.